GACGAACGCUGCGGCGUGCUUAACACAUGCAAGUCGAACGAUGAAGGAGAGCUUGCUCUCCGGAUUAGUGGCGAACGGGUGAGUAACACGUGACUAACCUGCCCCUUUCUCUGGGAUAACGCUCCGAAAGGAGUGCUAAUACCGGAUACGAACUCUGAACACAUGUUCGGAGUUGGAAAGUUUUUCGGAAAGGGAUGGAGUCGCGGCCUAUCAGCUUGUUGGUGAGGUAACGGCUCACCAAGGCGACGACGGGUAGCCGGCCUGAGAGGGCGACCGGCCACACUGGGACUGAGACACGGCCCAGACUCCUACGGGAGGCAGCAGUGGGGAAUAUUGCACAAUGGGCGAAAGCCUGAUGCAGCGACGCCGCGUGAGGGAUGAAGGUCUUCGGAUUGUAAACCUCUUUCAGUAGGGACGAAGCGAAAGUGACGGUACCUAAAGAAGAAGCACCGGCUAACUACGUGCCAGCAGCCGCCGUAA
This 480-nucleotide ribosomal RNA is filed under the name uncultured bacterium. RNAcentral's name for it is "partial 16S ribosomal RNA". It matches the Rfam family "Bacterial small subunit ribosomal RNA", at positions 28 to 523 of the family's 1533-position model. The record is from RNAcentral.